Molecule: ribosomal RNA, 407 nt
Filed under: uncultured bacterium
Lineage: Bacteria
Description: partial 16S ribosomal RNA
Rfam family: Bacterial small subunit ribosomal RNA
Source: RNAcentral
AUUGAACGCUGGCGGCAGGCCUAACACAUGCAAGUCGAGCGGAGCGGCGGACGGGAGAGUAAGGCCUAGGACUCUGCCUGGUAGUGGGGGAUAACGUCCGGACACGGGCGCUAAGACCGCAUACUAUUAGAUAAGCCUAGGUCGGAUGAGCUAGUUGGUGGGGUAACGGCCUACCAAGGCGACGAUCCGUAUCUGGUAUGAGAGGAUGAUCGGUCACACUGGAACUGAGACACGGUCCAGAUUCCUACGGGAGGCAGCAGUGGGGAAUAUUGGACAAUGUGCGAAAGCCUGAUCCAGCCAUGCCGCGUGUGUGAAGAAGGUCUUCGGAUUGUAAAGCACUUUAAGUUGGGAGGCGUUACCUACAGAAUAAGCACCGGCUAACUUCGUGCCAGCAGCCGCGGUAAUAC